This 507-nucleotide transfer RNA is filed under the name Sodalinema komarekii PMC 869.14. Its description in RNAcentral is "partial 16S-23S ribosomal RNA intergenic spacer". The stretch from base 281 to 353 matches the Rfam family "tRNA". Lineage: Bacteria; Bacillati; Cyanobacteriota; Cyanophyceae; Oscillatoriales; Oscillatoriaceae. The record is from RNAcentral.
UAGGGAGACCUAAACCCAAGACCUUGAGGAUGCAACUAAGCCCAAGGGAUUGAGGUCAACCUAGGUCGGUCGGAGACUCGUCGAAGCUUUCAAACGAUUAAGAGGUUAGGAACCCGAGGGAAUCAGAGAAAUGUGAAGAACUCGGACAAGAGACCAACCUUGAAAUGGGCUAUUAGCUCAGGUGGUUAGAGCGCACCCCUGAUAAGGGUGAGGUCCCUGGUUCAAGUCCAGGAUGGCCCACCUAAACCUUAGUGCUGUCAGUGGCGGUCAUUAAGAAAAUGGGGGUAUAGCUCAGUUGGUAGAGCGCCUGCUUUGCAAGCAGGAUGUCAGCGGUUCGAGUCCGCUUACCUCCAUGCUGGUCUCACCCCAAAAAAUUCCUAAAGCCAAAAGCUAAAGAUAACUCAGCACCUGAGAAAGACUCAGACUGCUGGGACAUCCCAGCGAGAACCUUGAAAACUGCAUAGUCAACCUAAAAAAAGUCAGGUGAAGUCGAGACCUCAAAAAGAU